UCAUAAAUAUGAACCAGUUGCCAAGCAUUUGAAUUUUGAUCACCUGCAAUGGUCAUAACUGUGAAAAACGGUCAUAAUCCACCUUUUUCAGUGGUGUAACUUUGAACAGACACUAAAUGAACUGUUAUAACUACUUGUAGGACUACUUGUAUUAAAAUGUUUACGAUUUACAAUUUUAUUCAACUGCCAUUAAAGAUAAUAGCAAAAGAACUUAUGAAAUAAUGUAUUUCAGUGUGUUUUAGAAUGCUAAUCAAUUAGAUAUGUACUAAGACUUAUUUUCAAAUGCAUUUCAUGUGUUUUCAACUAUACUGUUCCAAAGGCAAAUAAUUUCUUCUGAAAUGUAAUAGAUUUUAGAGUUAAACUGAAUUAUUGAUUUCAAAUAAAUUGGGAGCAUAAUAUCAGAGGUUUUAAAAAAUAUUUUCUUUCCACAAAUAAUGUUUUCUGUCUUAGUAUGACCUAAACCUUUUCAGACAACGUUCCUGCUGGAGGAAGUAAGAGACGUUAUUUUCAUCAAUUCUUUCUUUUCUUUCCUUGAUUGAGUGAUUACAUAUCACGAAGUCAGUGCUGACGACUAGUGAGCCUAUGGUUAGAUUGUCUCCAGGAUGAUCUGUUCCUCACCUGGCCAUGCACACAUCAUGCAUUGGUGUAUCCAUCAUUGCUAUAACUGAGUUCAUUUACCUUGUUGCUGAAUAUCCUUUUCUUCACUUUUAUUCCACCUUGCUUAGAACUAUGGAGUUUUCAAGGAAUCUGGGUUUUUGUAUUAUCUAUCCAAAAUACAAUAAUUUGAGCCUAGUCAUUUGUGACCAUAUUCUUCUAUGAUUAGGGGAGUCCUUGGAAACAAUGUGGGAGUUCAUGUAGAAGUUUAAAGCAUAUUGACAAAUACUCUCUCCCCCACCUUUCUUCAGUGGGAUCCUCCUCUAUGUAUGUCUUGAGGCAGAAAUUCAAUCUCUUUUUGUGUAUAAAUAUGCAUGCUUAAGUCUGCCAGCUUCAUUCAAACUAAGUUUUCAUAAUGAGAUCAAAGUAUAAGUUGUCUCUUUUUUCUUCCUCUGAUUAAUUGUAGAAGAGUUAAAAGGUGAAUGUUAUUGAAAAAGGAUUAUACUACUGUAAUGCUUGGGGAUUAUUCAUGAUGUGUACAAAAUUGGCAAAAGACAAGCCUUACAAAUUUCCCUUAUACUUUAUUUCAUACAGGAAAGAAAUCUUAACUACUGCUUUACAGGAGGUGUUGAUUUUUCUGGACCAACAAUAUAUUAUAAAAUGAGUAUAAGUAAGGAGAUGUUCAAGAAUUAUUUUAUAGAACAAGUUACACAAGUAUUCCUGCAUCUGCCUAAGUUCCCUUUGUCUUCUGGGAACCAUUUACAAUGCUGGGAGUUGGCAUAACUGCUAUCGCUAAUAUCUCAUCAGAAUUCUAAAAAACAGUUAAAAAUAACCUUUAUAGCAGGGGUGGGCAACCUAUAGUCAAUCAUAACAUACUAGUAAUAACAUGUAAGUGUUAUGAAAGAUUCAUUUCACAUAUUAGGACAAAUGGCUUUUCAGGGUUGGAAAAAUCUGUUUGCUCUAAUAUCUAGAGCGCCGACAUGGCCAUGGUUAAAAUUAGAGUAGGAGAUCCAGGUCCAGCCCACUUUCAGGCAUGGAAAUUCACUAGGUGAAUUUGGGAGUAGUUUAAUUUUGGGAGAAAUUUGAAGGAAAGAGAUUUAGCUGUAUUGCCUUGAGCUCAUGGAAAAAAGGUGGGAUAUAUAUUAAACAAAUACCACUGAACACAUAAAUGAAAAUUCUGGUUACAGGAAUUUUGCUGAAAAGUUACCAGUGAAAAAAAAAAGACAAUUAUGGAACCAGAUAGGACAAUCAUGAUCUCCACUAUUCUAUCCAAGACUAACAGCAGAAAAUAUUAGGAUUUAUGGAUUUUUUCCCCUAUGCUGUACUUCCUUACGUGGAGGAGAAAAGUGAGAUGUAGCAGGAGGUAUUUGUAAAGGUGAAAUAAUUGCCUUUAAACAUCAAAUGUAGUUACUUCCCAGAUAUAUCAAUGCAUUUAUCAAAGGGAUUCCAGACAUUUAACUGCAAUCAUUUCUUCUGCUUCUCAAAUAUUGAAAGCUAAUUGAUAGCAGGAUGGACUUCUCUUUCUUAAUUCAUUCCUUAAUUUGUUACUGAAGAUCGGAAAAGCCAAGAUUUGGAAGAUACAUGGAACUAUGCAAAAGAGAUGGGGAGGACAGUAAAGAGAAACCCUAAUUGUUCAAGCAGACAACUGCUUGGAUGACAUUGAGUAGCUUAUGGUGUCUUACUCCUUGCAAAAUCACAGUUUGGCUUCUUGGGACUAAAUGAGACAGAGGAGCAUUGCCUCAAUUAUCUCAAUAAGAGCUUACCUCCAAAAGGAGACAUGGGGGGAGGGGCGGAACCUGUAGGAAAAAGGUAGAGUCUAAUACAUUCUUAUCCUCCAUCAUUCCUACAAAACAAUACCACUUCUGCUGCUGACCCUUUAUAUUUCUGCUGGUUCCUCACUGGGAGGUUUCCAAGAGGUUUACCUUGCAUUCCAAUGUACCACAGAGUGUGUUGUACCUCUUACUCCGCUAUGUCUUUUUACUCUUUCAAUCCCAGGACAUAUCUCCAUUGAAGUCUUAACAUUUGGUCUCUCAUUCUUGUCUCAUCCAGGUGAGGUAGUAGAAAUGCUUAAUCAAGGUUUGGUUGCUGUAAUCAUCUGAAAGAGGGCCAAUAAUCUGCAGUUCAAACCAGACAAGGCAGAAGUGCUAAUUGAUCUUGGGAAUGUGAAGACCAGCUACUUGCUGUGUUGUACGCUGACAGAAAUUGAGAAGAUAAAGAAAGGCCUGCUCCAAGUGCUCACACAUGCGGGCAAUGUGAGAUUAGGCAAAGACUUGUUGAAUGUUUUAAGUAAUCACCUCUUGUUUAGUUUUUUUAAAAAAUUCCUAAAUCUUUUUUUUUUUUUGCAUUUUCAUUGCCAUGUUGCUUUAAUUCAUUAUUAUUUUAUUGUCACUUUUAUUGCACUCCAAGGACUUCUGCUGUAGGAUAAUGUAAUGAUGAUUAUAUUACAUGACUAUCAUGAUUACAUGAUUACCAGAUGGUUUACAUCCCAGGGUACUGAAGGAGCUGGCAGAUGAGAUCUCGGAACCACUAAAUAAAAUCUUUUAGAGCUCCUGGAGCAGAGGGGAAACUGCCAGAGGCCUGGAAAAGAGCUGAUGUGGUUCAAAUCUUCAAAAAGAGGGAAAAGUGGAACCAGGAAACUACAGACCAAUCAGCUUGACAUCAAUACCUGGGAAAAUCCUGGAAAAGAUAAUCAAGCAGCAGAUUUGUGAGCAUCUGGAAGUGAACAAGGCAAAUCAUCUAUCUUCCUGAAUCAGGCAUUGUUUUUACUGGAUGAUACUGGAUCCUCAACCCUGAUUAUAGCAUUCUGCACAAGAUGUCAUAUUUGCCUUUCCUUUCUUUAUAUGCUUUCACUGAAACAAUGUUAGCAAUUUGUGUUUUAUAAGGAUUCAUGUGGGGAAUUCUGCAGUGGGACACUUGUGAGACUUACUGGUGAUAGCACUUCAGAGAUCACUUUAUUUCAUGGAAGCCUCCUUCUGUCAUGGUCACCUAAUGUGUGAAUGCUGCUAAUAAAAAUGAUACUAAAUACAUUUUUUUAAAAAAAAUAUUGAAGUCUAUUUCUUUGAAUACAUAUUAUGGUGUAUCAUUUUAACAAAUGGGCAAAUGAUGCAUCAUAUUAAAUAUGGACAAAAUUCAACAGCAUCCCUGAAAAUAUGGAAAAGAUGCAUAGGCCUGAAAUGAUCUUUUCUUUACAUCCCAAAUGUCAGAUCUUUUGUACAAAAAUGCACCCAGUUAAUUUUUCCCCAGUCCUUUAUCAUUCAGCUAUUGGAACAUUGGGAAACUACAAAAUGAUUUUCUGAUCUGCUGAUUAAUCUUCACCAAAAGGGAGAGAAGGACACAAAGGGAAAGAAAGAAAAUUCAAGGCCUAGUACGCAAAUGUAAGAAAAUGACAAUCUUUUCCUGAUAUGGCUUUUAUCUAAGAGAUGGCCAUCUGCCCUGAAACAAGAACUUUCUUUUAAAAUUCUUUUAAUAUGAAUAAUUUCUCUUAUAAAAUAAAAUUAGCACAACAUAUCCUAUGUUCUUUAUAUUUUGACAAAGUACUCAAGAAACUUACAGGUAGUCCUCAACCUAUAACAGUUCAUUUAAUGAGUGUUUAAGGUUUUUAUGAUGGUUUUUCACACUUGUAACUGUUGCAACUUCCCCUUCUUACAAGCAAAGUCAAUGGGGAAGCCAAAUUAACUUUACAGAUGUAUUACUAACUUAACAACUGCAGCGAUUCACUUAAUAAUUGUGGCAAGAAAGGUUGUAAAAUGGAGAAAAUUCAUUUAACAACUGUUUUGCUUAGCAACAAAAAGUUUGGGCUCAACUGUGGUCUUUAAGUCAAGGACUACCAUAGCAAUCCUAUGCAGCCACAGUAAAAAGCAAAUAAUCAACCAAGCAGGAACAGGAUGGGAUAACCAGCAUCUCUGAUAAUUUUGCUGACCUUUAAACAAAUAGGAGAUAACCCACUAAUGGCAUGAACCCCUUAUUGUUUCCUGAUCCCAAGAUACAUGUAAAAAAUCUGGUCUGUACCUCCCCUUAUUGAAAGCACACAAAUGUUUUGGAUCUCUCCAUGGUUAUGAAAGAAAAUGAAUUCACAUCUCACUGAAUUGAACAUUGUCCUGAAAUUUUUUUCCAGAGAAGAGUCAGAGAAAAGCAUGGAAAACCAUUCCAGUACAAACAAUCGGCCAAAUCACAUACAGAACCCAAAAAUUCAGUCACUACUGUAACCAAGCUGCUAUGCACACAAUAUAUACUUUGAAACAACUCAGUAGGAAAGCAUAAGGGAACAUAGAUCCAAAACUGGGAAUUAAAUUUCAUUUCCUAGCCACAGAAAAAUGUCAGUAAGACAGUGCUUAAAUAGCUUUCAGCAACGUGUACAGUACUAAAGGGAAAACAGUUGCAACAAGAGUGGAAUCAUACAUUUCUACUACAAAAGUAACUUUAUAACAAUGACUCAAUAGAGGUUCAUGUUUAUCAUGAUCUAUCUUGAAGUCUCCCAAUACUGAGAGUUAUCAUGGAGCUUUAACUAAAUAAAAUAUCUUUAUUUAUUUAUUAAAUGAUUAAAACCACUUAUCUCCUUCACAGGAGUAGAUCAUCAUUUUUUUUCUGGCUUGCUUAAAAUUCCUUUAAUUACCACUAGUGUGAAUAUUAUAGAUCCCCCCCCAAAAAAAAACUGAAUUGAAGAAAUUACUGGUUCAUCUUUCACAUGCCUGUGUGCACACACACAUAUGCAACACACGCACAUAGAAUAAAAAUGUCUCUCCAGCAAAGAGUGGAUUGUUCAUAUAGAAUGGCGUAGCAUUUUGUAUUUGAUUCCAAAAAGAUGCUUUGCAAUUGUUAGGGGUACAAAUGCAGCAGCUGCCUGCGAUUCUGUAGAGCAGCUGCAUGUUUUCCUGGGAUCAACAACCCCUGCACACUCAAAAAUGAUGGGGCUAAAGUAGUUUAAAUCCACAUUUUUUAAUUUCCUUGGUUUGUAUAUGAACAGGGCAUGACUUCCUCUUCUAACUCCAAAGAAAUAGAUUCAGUUCAAAAGAAUGGCACUCGCCUUUAAAUGAUGUGGACAGUAUGGAACGUAAGUCACAAAUGAUAAAAAUAAAAUUUGACAACUUUUGCUGAACCUAUGAACAAAGUUGUCAAAUACAAUUAGAAUCCGAAUUCAAAUCCACAUUGGCUGGAUUUAUGAAGUUUGAUCUUGCUCACAGAUACUCAUUCCUGCUCUAAUCGUGAUGUUGGCAGAAGUAAAAGUUCAAAAACUUUAUCUUGGAUAGAAUAUGGCAUGCUGCUUCAGAAUCCAAUGUGAUGCUGCAUUAUGGAAAGGUGUUAUUUCAGGUUCUAAUGAAAGAAAUAACGUCUAUACCAAAAGUGAACUUGCCAGAUAAUUGGACCUUAUUAUAAGAACAGCUGUUUCCCACAUCAAAGCUGGCAAAACUGAGAUUUUUAUAAUCUCUGUUACAUAAACCUAAUGAAUCUUAAUUGAGCUUUAUCAGUCAAGAAUCACUGGUGUAUGCUGGUAAAUUCCUUAAUUAUAUAUAUAUAUAUCUCCUUGGACGGUGCAGCUUAUAAAGAUGUAAAGCUUUCUAGAAAUAUUGCAGAUAGGUUGGAAGGGGUAGAAGAAAGGUGGGAGGGACACCUGGAAAUUUUGUAAAAAAUAAAUAAAAAUCAAACAAGUGUUUGUAAAAAAAAAAAAGGUAUUUUUUUAACAGAUCAUUUGGGAAGCUGAAAAGGUUUCAGUACUGGAAUAUGUAUACUUUAAUGCUUUAUGUAUCAACCUUAAAGAAAAUAAUUCAAAGUUCCUUAAUUUGUCAAUUUAAUUGUUAUGGCAAAAAAAAAAAUAUACGAUGAAAAUUGACAGGAAAAGGUGUUUUAAAGCAGGGGUCUCCAACCUUGGCAACUUUAAGAUUUGUGCUUCACUGGCUGAGGAACACUGGGAGUUGGAAGUCCACAGGUCUUAAAGAAGACUUCUUUUAAAGAGUUCUUUAACUCAUACACACCCCAGCAUUUUUGGUUUUUUUUUAAUGGUUUUCCAGCCUAAGAUUAAAGGGAGACUCCCUUUAUCAAAUAAUUACAUAGAAGGGGAAAGUGUAUAGGUGCAGAACACCAUGCAAAUGUCAAAACAAAAUAAAACCUUAUAGCAUCUCAAAAGUAUUUAUUGCAUGUAUAAAUAAAUAUAUGUAUGUAAAAUGUAUGUAUGUAAAAUGUAUAUGUAUUCAUUAGUUAUUUAUUUUUGUACUUCACUUAAGAGAUAGAAGCACUGUCCACUUUGAUAUCAGUGAUUUUUCUUUACCCUUGUCAGGCCUCUCCUUCUGUUCUACCACCAGUUUUGCUAUAAUAGCAAUAGCUGUGUUCUACUGCCAACAUGGAGAUGUUAUAUAUGUAAUACUGCUAAUACUUGUAUUCUCAGCAUUGACAUUUUCAGCCUUAGUAACUGGUGUUAGUCUUGAAUAAAAAAGAAUAGAAGUAGUACUGCUUUGGAUUGCAUAAUAAUAAACCAU
Molecule: long non-coding RNA, 7064 nt
Organism: Ahaetulla prasina
Lineage: Eukaryota; Metazoa; Chordata; Lepidosauria; Squamata; Colubridae
Exons: 3
Source: RefSeq, a predicted model, not a curated record